GUGGGGAAUAUUGGACAAUGGGCGAAAGCCUGAUCCAGCCAUGCCGCGUGUGUGAAGAAGGUCUUCGGAUUGUAAAGCACUUUAAGUUGGGAGGAAGGGCAGUAAGUUAAUACCUUGCUGUUUUGACGUUACCGACAGAAUAAGCACCGGCUAACUUCGUGCCAGCAGCCGCGGUAAUACGAAGGGUGCAAGCGUUAAUCGGAAUUACUGGGCGUAAAGCGCGCGUAGGUGGUUUUGUAAGUUGGAGGUGAAAUCCCCGGGCUCAACCUGGGAACUGCCUCCAAAACUGCAUGACUAGAGUACGGUAGAGGGUAGUGGAAGUUCCUGUGUAGCGGUGAAAUGCGUUGAUAUAGGAAGGAACACCAGUGGCGAAGGCGACUACCUGGACUGAUACUGACACUGAGGUGCGAAAGCGUGGGGAGCAAACAGGAUUAGAAACCCCAGUAGUC
RNAcentral lists this ribosomal RNA (449 nucleotides) under uncultured bacterium. RNAcentral's name for it is "bacterial SSU rRNA". It matches the Rfam family "Bacterial small subunit ribosomal RNA", at positions 354 to 795 of the family's 1533-position model. The record is from RNAcentral.